GACGAGCCACACGAACGUUAUUCGGAAUUACUGGGCUUAAAGGGUGCGUAGGCGGUGCGGAAAGUUGGGUGUGAAAUCCCUCGGCUCAACCGAGGAACUGCGCUCAAAACUACCGUACUUGAGGAAGAUAGAGGUGAGCGGAACUUACGGUGGAGCGGUGAAAUGCGUUGAUAUCGUAAGGAACACCCGUGGCGAAAGCGGCUCACUGGACCUUUUCUAACGCUGAGGCGCGAAAGCUAGGGGAGCAAACGGG
Molecule: ribosomal RNA, 253 nt
Filed under: uncultured bacterium
Lineage: Bacteria
Description: partial 16S ribosomal RNA
Rfam family: Bacterial small subunit ribosomal RNA
Source: RNAcentral